This 4356-nucleotide long non-coding RNA is filed under the name Homo sapiens (human). Its description in RNAcentral is "HSALNT0335305". Lineage: Eukaryota; Metazoa; Chordata; Mammalia; Primates; Hominidae. The record is from RNAcentral.
GUUUUAUUAAAGAAGCAUAUGGACAAGGAACUAUCUCUGAAAUGUUUUCAGAGCUUCUCUGGUGUUACAUGCAUAGUAAAUAUUUUCUUUAAAUUAGAUGAAAAAUAUGGAUCCCCAUCCAUGUACCUUUGCUCAACUGUCCUCAGACCAGGUUUUAAAACAGAGAAUUUAUUCAAGAAUCUCAGCUUCUGCUUUGCAAAUGAGUUGAAAGCUUAAGGAUUUGACCCCAACUUUCAAAAUCCAGAAUUCACCCUGCUGUUUCUCCAUGAGUCUGACCUGCAUCAACUGCCUCCCUUAUUCUGGGAUUCCAGUUGUGGAGCUCAAGGACAAGUCCAUUCUGGGCUGGCUGUAUCCAACUUCUUUAGUCCAACUAUAUCCCCACUGGAAGCCAGGCUCUUUCCAACAGCUGUCACCCAUGCCUCUUUCUAUGUUUGUUAUCUGUCUCUAGGUUCUGGUAACUACUUCCUUCCCUUGCCCCUUCUGGCCUAGGGUGCUACCAAUCCCUCCUCCAAAUCCAACUGUCACUAGCCUCAAAGUACUUGUAGCUUCCUCACCUUACUUUCACCUUAAUAAAUGGUCCCCCUACUAUCUCUCUUCAAAGCACCCAAUUUGAGUGUGCCAUCUGUUUCUUGCCAGGAUCCUGGUUGGUACAUCAACCAAGCUGCACUGAUGGAGGAGCACUGUGCUGAACUUUAGGAAUGAAGCCACAGGGCCCUCACUGCCCCCAUAGUCACCUUGGUCAUCUUCUGCCUCCCUGAAAGACUAAAUUCAGUCAGUUCAGAUACAUACACAUCCAGACAUGUCAGGGAAAACUCCAUUUUGUAAGGAUCUCUGCUUAAAAUGCCAAAAGUUUGAAAGUUGGCAAACACUUGAGAAAAGCACAGUUCUCUGUCUUACUCUUACUCUAAACUUGGAGAUAAAUGCAUUUUUAAAAUUGUGCAUGUUAGAGUGCUAACGUGUACAAGAUCAUUUCUGGUGAGACACCACAAACAAUAUUUUAUGAGGCCAAAAUAAGAAAGAAGGAAAUGAAAUAGCUCAGGAAUCUCAGGAAGAGCUCAUCGAACACUUUGCCUUUAUCUCAGACCAUUUUAUCCACAGCCCUGUUAAUCAGGAUUGGAUAUACCUCCAUGAGGGAGUCUUAAACGGAGGGAAAGAGAUGCCACAACUAAAAAAAAGAAUGCAAUAGAAGUUUGUCUUAAUGCCUGUUCUGUGAUGCACAACUUUCGUAAGCCAAAAUUUUAACCUUAUGAACAAUCAGUUCUGUGCUGCCCUUAGCAGAGAACCAUAAAUUAAAGAUAAGCAAUGGUUCAGACUUUCCAGGGCCUUGACUCAGGAGUAACUCUGAAAUCCCAACCAAAUAUGUAUUUGGUUAAGCAAUUUGGCACAUUUUUCUAUUUUGAGGCAUUAAACUAUAAUUACAAGUCACUUUUAUUUCAUUCCAAAUAAAUGUCCCUAAAGUAGAUAGAACUAGAGGUUUCCUUUUUUUAAAAAAAGGAAACAGGAAAACAACAAACAAAACCAAAAAGAACAAAAGCAAAACAAAACUUAGUCAAGCUAACAAAUUGCAUGUAUGGUGUGUUUUAUAAUUUAAUCAAUAUAAAAAAUUGAGUGUGCUAGUGCCUCAGGAGGACUCAGAGGACUCAAAUACUCAAUAGGUUAUCUGGAGGAAUUUCUCAUUGGAGAAAAAAAUUAAAGUUCUUUUGAACAACCCACAUAAUCAAGAUAGUAAUAAUUUAACCUCAAGUUUUUCCUUGAUUAAAAAAUCCCUUUGCUAUUCUGCUCCAGUGUUUGUAAUAGAUGGUUCAACAAGACUGGUGUUUUGUUAGUUGGAAAAGUAAGCUGAUAUGAGGGGUGGGGAGAGGAAGGGCAGAAAUUUAUUAACAAUCAGCAAGUAAAGAAAAACAGCCUGCAAAUUGUAAUGAAAGGAAGAAAGGACAGGAAAGGAAAGGUAGGGCUGGUGGAGAGUGACUGUUCUGCCUGCUUACUGCACAGGCCAAGAACAAACUCACGAUAAAUACUCCAGGUCCUCAAGAAAAAGGUUUCUGUGCUGAAUUAUGGUAGUCUACCUGAAAUUGGGAUGAUGAAUUAGAAAACCUCUCUCAUCGCUUCAAGUCUUGUGAUUUAUUCAUUCAGUGCCAUUUAUUGUAUAACUAUAUAAUUUCUAAAGGGGGAUAACUACAAGAAAAAGAUGUGAUUUCUUCUUUCAGAGAUCCCCAAAUAUAGAAAGCUAUUCAUAUACUGCUUAGAUAAACAAAGAUUAUCUUCUUUUUCUACAUUCUAUAUAAUGUUCCUUAAACUCAAGCUCUCUUCUCCCCAUCUCUACCUUACCCCUCUGGGUAGCAAGGAAAAAUAAAAAUAAUGUCAUUCAAUGGUUUCUUUGCCUCCUCUGAUUUAAACAGUCUAUUUUGAUUUCAGAUUUCUCUUUGAGGUAAAUAUUCCGGGAAUUCUAAAUUUAAGUCCUUAUUAUAGCGACUUCUUCCUUUCAAUUCUUACUUCUUUCCAACGUGGUGUCUGUCCUAGUGAUCCUCUUGAUGCUGGGAGGAGGAGGAGUCACCUGUUCUCCUGUGGUCUUUCACUGGUUUCCACAGUGGGUGGCUGGUCCAAUCCUUGGGUGCAACUUGGUCAGCUCCAGUGUGCUUUGUGGGGUCAUGUUUCUGAGCUGAAGUCAGCAGCAAGGGAACUCAUGGUCUACUUCUUUGACACACAUUCUUUUCAGUCUAUAUUUGUGGUUCAUGGAACUCCUAGAGGCAAACAUGGUGCCUGACCACAAUGGCAUUUGAUUUUUUGUUUACUCUGGUAUCAAUCAUAAUUUUCUUGUAGCAUUUGAAAGGAGAAAUCAUAUAUUUCUAAAAACCCUAUACAUCAAAUAAUAUGUUUUCAGUAAAUGUUGGUUUUUUACUGUGCCACCUAUUUUUUAUCAUAAUUAACUAUUGAACGAUGAACUAUCUUACAUAUACUUUUUAAACAGAAAAAAUCAAUACGAUGUUUUUUCACUUCAAACUUGCUAAGUCAUGACACAUAGGUUUCCUAUUACACAUGUGAAAUGAACACUGCUUUAGUAACAGUAUCAAUACAAGCAGAAAGGUAAAACAAAUCCUCUACUAAUUCAUGAAAUUGAACAGUUAUUUAAGCUAUUGGUUUGUUACAACAUGAGUUACUUGAUUGAUUUUAGCAUUAUGCUUCAUAUAUGUGUUUAUGUUUUAAUUUUGUAUUUAUUCAGUAUCAACGUAGAACAGUACAAAGAAAUUAUACUCACAAAAACAGUGCAAAGAAAUUAUCAGAAAACCCAACUAUUUUUUCUCAGCUUGCUUAUUGCCUUUUAUCAUAUAAUUGCAUUAAAUAUUUAUGAAUGUAUUUCCAUAAAGAUGCAGUAAUAAGCUGUAUACACUUUCGAGUCCUUUUUUCUUAGUAUUAAACAUUAUUUUCCAUGUUGCUAAUUUUAAUAUGUAUGAUUUUAAUAAUAUUUCAUCAACUAGAGAUUUCCCUAUGAGCUAGGUCAUUUCAUAGUUUUUCAAGAUUAUACAUAAUACUGAAAUAGCCAUUUUUAUAAACAUGGUAGAGUUUAUUCCCCUCUUGACUGAUUUUUUUAGCACUUAUAUUCCUCAGAAGAGCUCACUGAGUAGUAGAGAAUGAAAGUUGCAUAGUUUUGACCUGUGUCCCUGGGCUGUCUCCAAAAAGACUGUGUGUUCAACAAUGCUUUGCAGGCUCCUGUUUUCACAUGGUGACCUCUGCUAGCAAUAGUUCAAGUUUCAUGGGCAAUUUUUUCUCCUGGUGUGACUGAGUCUCCUCUUCUUGAGGUCUUCCAUUUCAAUUCUAAGAUAUAAAAUAUGAUUUUUCUGCAACUAGUAGACUAAUAGAAUUUUCUUUCUUUACCUUUCUUUCUUUCAUUUCACCUUAAGCAACUCUUGUUUUCUAACAGCAGAGCAGAUUAAUUUUUACAAAAAAAACCCAUUUUAAUUUAAAAAAAAAUGGAUGUAAUAAGUAAAACUUACUGAACAUUUACUAUGUUCUGGGCAUUUUAUAUGUAUUAACUUAUUGAAUCUUAACAACUGUAUAUUAUUCUCACUGUACACAUGAGAAUAUAGAGAUAAAACAGUCAAAUAAUUUGCCCUCUGUCCCACAGCUAGAGCGUGACAGAGCAGAGAUCCCAACCCAAAAGUCUGAUAUUAGAGUCCCACACUAAAUCAUGGUGCUUUUCUGGAAAUGACAGCAGAAAUUGAUGUCUGCUAAGUAGCAGUUACAUGGAAGACGUGUCUUUUUUUCUUGGGAAUUUAGAUUUAGAUUAGAAAUUGGCCAGAAAAUAAAUAGUCCUCCUUUAAUAAAUCUCUCCUGUCGUCAUCUCCCUAUCAUCCCCCA